GCCCUUGUGGCGGAAUUGGUAGACGCAGCGGACUCAAAAUCCGCCGUUCUAAAUGAGCUUGCCGGUUCAAGUCCGGCCAAGGGUA
This 85-nucleotide transfer RNA is filed under the name seawater metagenome. RNAcentral describes it as "tRNA-Leu". It matches the Rfam family "tRNA". From Rfam's summary of the family: Transfer RNA (tRNA) molecules are approximately 80 nucleotides in length. Their secondary structure includes four short double-helical elements and three loops (D, anti-codon, and T loops). Further hydrogen bonds mediate the characteristic L-shaped molecular structure. tRNAs have two regions of fundamental functional importance: the anti-codon, which is responsible for specific mRNA codon recognition, and the 3' end, to which the tRNAs corresponding amino acid is attached (by aminoacyl-tRNA synthetases). tRNAs cope with the degeneracy of the genetic code in two manners: having more than one tRNA (with a specific anti-codon) for a particular amino acid; and 'wobble' base-pairing, i.e. permitting non-standard base-pairing at the 3rd anti-codon position. The record is from RNAcentral.